AGAGUUUGAUCAUGGCUCAGAAUCAACGCUGGCGGCGCGCCUAACACAUGCAAGUCGAACGAGAAAGUGGAGCAAUCCAUGAGUAAAGUGGCGUACGGGUGAGUAACACGUGGAUAACCUGCCCUUUAGUGGGGAAUACCGCUGGGAAACCGGCGACAAUACCGCAUAAGCUCGAGAGAGGAAAGCAGCAAUGCGCUGAAGGAGGGGUCCGCGGCCGAUUAGCUAGUUGGUAGGGUAAUGGCCUACCAAGGCUGUGAUCGGUAGCCGGCCUGAGAGGGCACACGGCCACACUGGCACUGAAACACGGGCCAGACUCCUACGGGAGGCAGCAGUGGGGAAUCUUGCACAAUGGAGGAAACUCUGAUGCAGCGACGCCGCGUGAGCGAUGAAGCCCUUCGGGGUGUAAAGCUCUUUCGGCAGGGAAGAUUAUGACGGUACCUGCAGAAGCAGCUGCGGCUAACUACGUGCCAGCAGCCGCGGUAAUACGUAGGCAGCAAGCGUUGUUCGGAGUUACUGGGCGUAAAGGGUGCGUAGGCGGCCUUGUAAGUAUGGUGUGAAAUCUCCCGGCUUAACUGGGAGGGUGCGCUAUUAACUGCAGGGCUAGAGUGCGGGAGAGGAAAGUGGAAUUCCUGGUGUAGCGGUGAAAUGCGUAGAUAUCAGGAGGAACACCGGUGGUGUAAACGGCUUUCUGGACCGUAACUGACGCUGAGGCACGAAAGCGUGGGUAGCAAACAGGAUUAGAUACCCUGGUAGUCCACGCCCUAAACGAUGCAUAUUUGGUGUGGGCCAUUCAGUUGGUCCGUGCCGGAGCUAACGCGUUAAAUAUGCCGCCUGGGGAGUACAGUCGCAAGGCUGAACUCAAAGGAAUUGACGGGGCCCGCACAAGCGGUGGAGCAUGGUGGUUUAAUUCGACGCAACGCGAAGAACCUUACCUGGG
This 937-nucleotide ribosomal RNA is filed under the name uncultured bacterium. RNAcentral's name for it is "bacterial SSU rRNA". It matches the Rfam family "Bacterial small subunit ribosomal RNA", at positions 8 to 979 of the family's 1533-position model. The record is from RNAcentral.